GAUCCUGCCAGUAGUCAUAUGCUUGUCUCAAAGAUUAAG
Molecule: ribosomal RNA, 39 nt
Filed under: Potentilla suavis
Lineage: Eukaryota; Viridiplantae; Streptophyta; Magnoliopsida; Rosales; Rosaceae
Description: partial 18S ribosomal RNA
Source: RNAcentral